This is a long non-coding RNA of Mus musculus (house mouse), 505 nucleotides long. RefSeq annotates it as predicted gene, 33904. Lineage: Eukaryota; Metazoa; Chordata; Mammalia; Rodentia; Muridae. The record is from RefSeq and is a predicted model, not a curated record. The transcript has 4 exons.
CAGUUUAUACUCACUGACAUUUCUUUGCCUCGGUACUUAUAGUUCUUCAGCCUCUCUUUGGGAGCCUUUGAGGUAGCCAUGUUGACUGAAGGAAAGACACCACCUGUAGGGAAGUUAAGGCCAGCGAAGACUUCAGCUCCAUUUGAACUGAGUCACUCAUGUCCAAGGGUGGUCUCAGAGUCACAAUGCAGCCAAGGUGGGCUUGAGCCCCGGAUGCUUCUCCACCUUCUUCUAAGUGCUGGAAUUACAGGUAUACAGAAGAGACACACGAGGUCGAGAUAUCAGAGCCGGCGCGGUAGCUCGGCAGGUAAGGCACUUGCUAAGCAGAGAAAGCUCUAAGACCUGAGUUCCAUCCUCAGAACACAAUGCCCAGGCAGAAGAACUCACCCUGAAAAGUUGUCUUCUGACCUUAUGUGCAAAUGGAUGCCCGAUGUCUCUCACACACACCCAAUCUUCUCUCCCCCUCCUUAAUCUAAAAAAAAAAAAAAAAAAAAAAAAAAAAAAA